Schistosoma haematobium is the source of this 45-nucleotide non-coding RNA. The record is from Rfam. Lineage: Eukaryota; Metazoa; Platyhelminthes; Trematoda; Strigeidida; Schistosomatidae.
ACCCAACUGACGAGUCCCGAAUAGGACAAUAAGCGCGUCCUGGAU